CGGAGGAUCCAAGCGUUAUCCGGAAUCAUUGGGUUUAAAGGGUCCGUAGGCGGUUUAUUAAGUCAGUGGUGAAAUCUGGUCGCUCAACGAUCAAACGGCCAUUGAUACUGAUAGACUUGAAUUAUUGGGAAGUAACUAGAAUAUGUAGUGUAGCGGUGAAAUGCUUAGAUAUUACAUGGAAUACCAAUUGCGAAGGCAGGUUACUACCAAUGGAUUGACGCUGAUGGACGAAAGCGUGGGGAGCGAACAGGAUUAGAUACCCUGUAGUCCACGCCGUAAACGAUGGAUACUAGCUGUUCGGAGCAAUCUGAGUGGCUAAGCGAAAGUGAUAAGUAUCCCACCUGGGGAGUACGUUCGCAAGAAUG
RNAcentral lists this ribosomal RNA (365 nucleotides) under uncultured organism. RNAcentral's name for it is "bacterial SSU rRNA". It matches the Rfam family "Bacterial small subunit ribosomal RNA", at positions 526 to 896 of the family's 1533-position model. The record is from RNAcentral.